UACAGAGGGUGCGAGCGUUGUUCGGAAUUAUUGGGCGUAAAGGGCGUGUAGGCGGUGCUCCAAGUCUGUCGUGAAAUCUCCCGGCUCAACUGGGAGGGUGCGGCGGAAACUAGAGUGCUCGAGUGUGGGAGAGGUAAGCGGAAUUCCUGGUGUAGCGGUGAAAUGCGUAGAUAUCAGGAGGAACACCUGCGGUGUAGACAGCUUACUGGACCACGACUGACGCUGAGACGCGAAAGCGUGGGUAGCAAACAGG
RNAcentral lists this ribosomal RNA (253 nucleotides) under uncultured bacterium. RNAcentral's name for it is "partial 16S ribosomal RNA". It matches the Rfam family "Bacterial small subunit ribosomal RNA", at positions 524 to 776 of the family's 1533-position model. The record is from RNAcentral.